AAUGGGCGCAGGCCUAAUCCAGCCAUUCCGCGUGCAGGAUGAAGGCCUUCGGGUUGUAAACUGCUUUUGUACGGAACGAAACGGUCUGCCCUAAUACGGCGGGCUAAUGACGGUACCGUAAGAAUAAGCACCGGCUAACUACGUGCCAGCAGCCGCGGUAAUACGUGGGGUGCAAGCGUUAAUCGGAAUUACUGGGCGUAAAGCGUGCGCAGGCGGUUAUAUAAGACAGAUGUGAAAUCCCCGGGCUCAACCUGGGAACUGCAUUUGUGACUGUAUGGCUAGAGUACGGCAGAGGGGGAUGGAAUUCCGCGUGUAGCAGUGAAAUGCGUAGAUAUGCGGAGGAACACCGAUGGCGAAGGCAGCCCCCUGGGUCGAUACUGACGCUCAUGCACGAAAGCGUGGGGAGCAAA
This 410-nucleotide ribosomal RNA is filed under the name uncultured bacterium. RNAcentral describes it as "bacterial SSU rRNA". It matches the Rfam family "Bacterial small subunit ribosomal RNA", at positions 370 to 772 of the family's 1533-position model. The record is from RNAcentral.